RNAcentral lists this unclassified non-coding RNA (309 nucleotides) under plant metagenome. RNAcentral describes it as "partial contains 5.8S ribosomal RNA, internal transcribed spacer 2, and large subunit ribosomal RNA". The stretch from base 1 to 105 matches the Rfam family "5.8S ribosomal RNA", at positions 50 to 154 of the family's 154-position model. The record is from RNAcentral.
GAAAUGCGAUAAGUAGUGUGAAUUGCAGAAUUCAGUGAAUCAUCGAAUCUUUGAACGCACAUUGCGCCCCUUGGUAUUCCAUGGGGCAUGCCUGUUCGAGCGUCAUUUGUACCCUCAAGCUCUGCUUGGUGUUGGGUGUUUGUCCCGUCUCCGCGCGUGGACUCGCCCCAAAGUGAUUGGCAGCCGGCGUACUGGUCCCGGAGCGCAGCACAUGUCGCGCAAACGAGUGCCUUGGUACGGCGGCGUCCAUAAGCCCCUCUCUCACGCUCUUGACCUCGGAUCAGGUAGGGAUACCCGCUGAAGAUAAGC